AGUUGGCGGGGUAACGGCCCACCAAACCGACGAUGGAUAGGGGUUCUGAGAGGAAGGUCCCCCACAUUGGUACUGAGACACGGACCAAACUCCUACGGGAGGCAGCAGUGAGGAAUAUUGGUCAAUGGCCGAGAGGCUGAACCAGCCAAGUCGCGUGAAGGAAGAAGGAUCUAUGGUUUGUAAACUUCUUUUAUAGGGGAAUAAAGUGGAGGACGUGUCCUUUUUUGUAUGUACCCUAUGAAUAAGCAUCGGCUAACUCCGUGCCAGCAGCCGCGGUAAUACGGAGGAUGCGAGCGUUAUCCGGAUUUAUUGGGUUUAAAGGGUGCGUAGGUGGUGAUUUAAGUCAGCGGUGAAAGUUUGUGGCUCAACCAUAAAAUUGCCGUUGAAACUGGGUUACUUGAGUGUGUUUGAGGUAGGCGGAAUGCGUGGUGUAGCGGUGAAAUGCAUAGAUAUCACGCAGAACUCCGAUUGCGAAGGCAGCUUACUAAACCAUAACUGACACUGAAGCACGAAAGCGUGGGGAUCAAACAGGAUUAGAUACCCUGGUAGUCCACGCAGUAAACGAUGA
This 568-nucleotide ribosomal RNA is filed under the name uncultured bacterium. RNAcentral's name for it is "bacterial SSU rRNA". It matches the Rfam family "Bacterial small subunit ribosomal RNA", at positions 247 to 812 of the family's 1533-position model. The record is from RNAcentral.